GUUUGAUCCUGGCUCAGGAUGAACGCUGGCGGCGUGCUUAACACAUUCAAGUCGAACGAAGAAUUAGGGUAACUCUAAUUUUUAGUGGCGGACGGGUGAGUAAUACAUGGGCAACCUGCCUCUAAGAGGGGAAUAACAUUGGGAAACCGGUGCUAAUACCGCAUAAAACGAAACUAUGGCAUCAUAGAUUCGGCAAAGGAGAAAUCCGCUUAGAGAUGGGCUCAUGUCUGAUUAGAUAGUUGGUAAGGUAACGGCUUACCAAGUCUGCGAUCAGUAGCCGGACUGAGAGGUCGAACGGCCACAUUGGAACUGAGAUACGGUCCAGACUCCUACGGGAGGCAGCAGUGGGGAAUAUUGGGCAAUGGGCGAAAGCCUGACCCAGCGACGCCGCGUGAGGGAAGAAGGUCUUCGGAUUGUAAACCUUUGUAAGCAGGGACGAACAAAAAUGACGGUACCUGCAAAGUAAGCCACGGCUAACUACGUGCCAGCAGCCGCGGUAAUACGUAGGUGGCGAGCGUUAUCCGGAAUUACUGGGUGUAAAGGGUGAGUAGGCGGGGCAACAAGUCAGAUGUGAAAUA
RNAcentral lists this ribosomal RNA (578 nucleotides) under uncultured Clostridia bacterium. RNAcentral's name for it is "bacterial SSU rRNA". It matches the Rfam family "Bacterial small subunit ribosomal RNA", at positions 11 to 601 of the family's 1533-position model. Lineage: Bacteria; Bacillati; Bacillota; Clostridia. The record is from RNAcentral.